ACUUAUUCGAUCUCUUACGGUGUGGAUAAAGAAAACCUCGCUUCAUACAAAAUUUAUGCAACUCAGAAGAUGUUCGAUGGAAAUACGGACGGAAAUUCUGUUGUGACAAAUGUCUUAUCACCAGCUGUAACAGCUCGUUAUAUCCGCAUACACCCAAAGACAUGGAACAAAAAUGGCAUUUCCUUGAGAGUGGAACUUUAUGGUUGUCAAAGAGUGAAUGCAAUUCCUUGCAAAGCUGGUGAAAAGACACUUGGCGUGGAAGAUGAGAAAAAAGUUAAAGAUUCACAAUUGACUUC
Molecule: long non-coding RNA, 296 nt
Organism: Dendronephthya gigantea
Lineage: Eukaryota; Metazoa; Cnidaria; Anthozoa; Malacalcyonacea; Nephtheidae
Exons: 3
Source: RefSeq, a predicted model, not a curated record